UUUGAUUUGAUAAUUGAUAAU
RNAcentral lists this non-coding RNA (21 nucleotides) under Caenorhabditis elegans. Lineage: Eukaryota; Metazoa; Nematoda; Chromadorea; Rhabditida; Rhabditidae. The record is from RNAcentral.